Molecule: ribosomal RNA, 600 nt
Filed under: uncultured bacterium
Lineage: Bacteria
Description: bacterial SSU rRNA
Rfam family: Bacterial small subunit ribosomal RNA
Source: RNAcentral
CUGCUGUAGCGCCACUGACGCUGAUGCUCGAAAGCGUGGGUAUCGAACAGGAUUAGAUACCCUGGUAGUCCACGCGGUAAACGAUGGAUGCUCGCUGUGUGCCUUUGAGGUACGUGGCCAAGGGAAACCAUUAAGCAUCCCACCUGGGGAGUACGCCGGCAACGGUGAAACUCAAAGGAAUUGACGGGGGCCCGCACAAGCGGAGGAACAUGUGGUUUAAUUCGAUGAUACGCGAGGAACCUUACCCGGGCUUGAACUGCCAGCGGACGAUUCAGAGAUGAUGAGGCCCUUCGGGGCGCUGGUGGAGGUGCUGCAUGGUUGUCGUCAGCUCGUGCCGUGAGGUGUCGGCUUAAGUGCCAUAACGAGCGCAACCCCUUUCGUCAGUUGCCAUCAGGUAAAGCUGGGCACUCUGGCGACACUGCCACCGUAAGGUGUGAGGAAGGUGGGGAUGACGUCAAAUCAGCACGGCCCUUACGUCCGGGGCUACACACGUGUUACAAUGGCGCAUACAGAGAGUCGGUCCUGCGCAAGCAGGGUCUAAUCAUGAAAGUGCGUCGUAGUUCGGACUGGGGUCUGCAACCCGACCCCACGAAGCUGGAU